Molecule: long non-coding RNA, 10032 nt
Filed under: Citrus x clementina
Lineage: Eukaryota; Viridiplantae; Streptophyta; Magnoliopsida; Sapindales; Rutaceae
Description: Citrus clementina (C. clementina) long non-coding RNA (CCLE_LNC001625)
Source: RNAcentral
UAGUAGGAAAUUUAUACCAAACCUUAGUACAUUAAUAAGACUUUUAUAUAAUAAAUUAAGUAAAACUGACAAAAGUACUUUAAUAGCAAAGAGAUAAAACUAAUUUAAAAGCUUAAAAGAAUAGUUAGAAAUCUUAAGUUAUUAGUAUUACCAAUAGAUAGUUACUAUAAAAUUAUAUAAAUUGAUGCAAAUAGUUUAGGAUGGGUAGGAAUAUUAAUAUAAAAGCUCAAUAAAGAUAGCUCAAAAGAGAAUGAAGAAAUAACAAUAUGUAUUAAUGGAAAAUUUACAGAAAUAGAAAGUAGAAAGUCAAGUACAAAAUUAGAAAUUUUAGGAAUAAUAAAUUAUUUCAACUCAUUUCAUUUGUACAUACAAAACGAUACAUUUACAAUAAGAACCUAUUACAAUAAUAUAAAAGAAUUUCAUAAAAAAGUACAAAAGAAAAAUUUUGAUAAGAAAAAUUCUUUUAUUAGUAAAAGAUGGAUAUAUACUUUUUAAAAGUAAUAGCAGGUUGAGAAUAUAAAGCAAAAUUUGAACAUGUAGUAGGUAAGACUAAUUAUUCAAUUAUUAUUUUGCAGAAAUGGAGCGAUAUAUGAAUUUCAGUCCAAUAAAACUUAGACAGUUUCCUUCAGGAACAAAUUUAAGUUUCAAAAGUAAAUAUCAAUUAUUAGACAGUCAAUAAUGUAUCUUAGACAAAUUGUGGAGUUGUAAUAACCUACACGAUAAAUUAAAAAUAGCCAAUGCACUCAUGAAUUAUUUUAGACAGAUUAAUGAGCAUGUAGAAAGUAAUCAUUUUGCAUUUUUUGAAUUAGUCAGAGGUAGACAACUAGGCAUUUAUAGUCAGUGAUAAUUGACCUAACAAUCCAUUAUCAUGAUCCAUAAUAAAGAGGUUUUUCUACAUUUCAUAAAGUAAUAGAAUUCGUUAGACAAAAGAUAGGACCAAAUUACCAUGUCAACCAUUUAAUUAACCCUUUAAAUAAUGCGCCAACAUCAUCAAAUAGAUAGUUAAAUAAUUCUUUAGAUAAUGCAUCAUCAUCAUCAUCCAUACAAUUUUAAAACCAUUGUGAAGUCAUGACGCGCACAGUUAGAAAGCUUAAUGAUACUAGAUAUUAUUUAGACAAUAAAGUAAAUGUAUAAAGACAAAAAUAAUUGCAGUGGAAAGUGCUAAUACAGAAUUAUUUAGACAUCUCACAUUUCAAGAUAAAUAUAAUACAUUAGACAUUCAGUAUCAUAGUAGGCAGAAUAAACAAAAAAUAAUAAGAAAAGAAUGGGAUGAACUUGAGAAAUGGAAAUUUUCUCUUCUUCCAAAGAGUGAAUAUCCACUUCCAAUCUAAUUAAAAAAAUAAACAAGAAGUAGUAAAAAUAGCUUUAGACAAACAAAUACAUAUUAUAAAAUUUUUAAAUGAUCUGGUUAUAUCAAAAGUAAAUAUUAAUGGUUUAAGUAUUAUAUGGGAUACUCAGUAUAAAACUAAGAAUUUAAAUUGUCCUAGAAAAGAUCCAUUGUGUGAAUCAGUUCCUUUAGAAAGAUUUGUUUGCAAAUGUCAUCUUAUUUAUAGUAUAUCAUCAGUUUGUAUAAAUCUAGCCAGAUAUGAACUGCUAGAGAUAGAAUACAAAAAAGAAAAAAUAGUUUUAACACCAACUUUACUAUUAGAUUAUGGUUUAUUAGGUCAAGUAGCUUAAAAAACUUUUGCCACAACAAAUAACCAGCUUGUAGAAUUAUACGUAGAUAGUAAAACACUAGAAUGGGAUGAGUUUGGAGUCAUACUAGUCCAUUAUAAAAUAGCAGUAAGAUUUCAUAAAUUUAAAACCUUCACUUUUUGGAAUAAAAUUUCUUUGACCUUGUAGACGAUUUAGUAUAAAAGAGUAGCUUGAACAUUGAACUAGUAAAGUAAUAGGUAGAUAGUUAUAUUGGGCGCAUUAUAAGCUUGAAAACUAUAUCCUAAUCACUAAAGAUGUAGUCUAAAAGAUUUGCUCUAAACAUCCCCUUCCGGAAGUAUCCUUCUUCACCAAAACCAAAUACAUAAGAUUGGUAGAGCACUAUGCUAAAGAAUUCAAAGCAGAAACGUAAAGCUCAGAAAGAACAACAUGAAUUGGAUCUACGAAAAGUUGAAUGGUGGGAUGAUUUGGGAAGUGAAGACGCAGACAACAUAGAAAGCGAUAUGGAUGAUUAGCCAGCAUUAUCUAGCUAGUAAUAGUCAAAAGUCAAAGUAGCCAGACUUUAUCAAAGUCAUGUGUUACAAAAGCCUUUCCUUUCCUCACUACUUGACAAGGCAAAAACUAUUAGGACAUCUUUCUUGUUUUGUCAUUUUAUUGCCAAUGGUAAAUAAGUUGUGAGUUAGCUUAAAAAAUUGCAGUCGGUCACUAUUUACUGACAGUUAGUCACCAUAAAAUUACAAUAGCUAGUCAAUCUUUUUAAUAUUUACCUUUUUAAUUCUUCAUUGGUCAAUUGCCAUAUGUAAAGUGUAGUCUUAAAGCUUGUCAUUUGUACAUAGAGUCAUAAAUUGUGGCAAUAAUUGUAUCGAGUCCUUAGUUGUAUAUAUAUUAGGGAUGCCAAAUAAACCCAAACUUGGCCGAGACCUAGACAAACCUGAAUAUUCCAGUCCAGGUUUAACCCACACCGAAUGUUAAAAGAACCACGAUUCGGCAGUAAAAUUUUAGACCCAGACAUAUCUGGGCCUGGUUCCGGGUUUACUUGAACCCGAAUAUCCGAAACUCGGACUUGGAUAUUUUAUUUUUGAAAUUAAGUAAAAAAUUAAUUUUAAGUAUAAAAAAAAAAAAAAGAAACCUUAAAGCACUAUAGUUGCUUGUUUUCCUCUCCCUCAAUCUUUUUGAUGACUUAACCCCACAAAGUCCUAGUUCAUCGUCGCAGAUUGUUAUCAAAUUAUUAUCAUCAUCAAUUCGUCUUCAAUUAAGCAUCCCAUUCAUGACUUGUUGCCUUUCAUCUUCAUAUUCAUUACUUUGGCUUUCUUUGAAGUUAGUGAGUUUCGAUUCUCUUUAGCAUUAUUUUACACCACCAUCGUUUUUUACUCGAUUCCUCCAAUACUUUUCACCCCAUCAUUAAUUCAUCAUCAAUCGUCAAUCAUCAUCACGACAUCGUAAUUUUGUCACCCCGCUUCGCAAAGUAGCUGACUGUUGUUAAAGUUCAUCAUUCCCUAAUUUCUUUAUGAAACAAAUCUAUCUCUAUAACUUGAUGGCUUGUAAGGAUGAUUAUGUUUGAAAAUUGAAUUUGUAUGCUCUGUUAUUAUUCGGGUUCUUGGUUUUUAUUUCUAAUUAUUUGAUUUUGAAUUAUUUUCCAUUUAUUAUUGUUAACAAAUUAGAGAUUUAGAAGAGGAAAUGACUGAAGAAAGAGAUGGAAACUUGUAUUUAAAAUACUAGUUAGGAAACCCAAGAGGAGGGUGAAUUGGUUUUCUAAAAAUUUAAGCAACAAAGAACCUUAAUGCAAUUUAAACAAAGUAAUCAAAUUCGAAAUAAACAAAAUUUUGUGCAAUGAAAAAUAAAGAGAUAGAGUAAGAGAGAGCAAACACGCAAUUUUUAAGUGGUUCGGCCAACUCCGCCUAUGUUCACGCCUCCAAGCUCACCGGACUUGAGGAUUCCCUUAUCCAAGCCUCCAAGGCUUCAAGAACUUUUACAAUUGACUUCACAGGUGUUAAACAACAUUUACAACAAGAGAUUAUCUCAAAUCUCUUAACCCAAGUGUUUCCUACACUCACCCAAGUGUUUCCCACACUUACACUUUCUUAAAUACAAGAUUUUUCUCACACACAAUCUAUGUGUUUACAACAAUAUGCUCAAGGUGUGAUUUAAAGAAUGAAUGAACAAAUUAAAGCUCAAGAAAUAUUGUAUUCUCAAUAAUAUGCUCUCCGGCAUUUCUUGGAUUCAGUAUUCACUUUGAUUUGGAUCUAAUGCAGCCUUUUUGUAGUUGGAACUGAAAACUAGUCAUUAUUAAUUUUUUGUAAAAAGUCAAAUUACCAUUAAGCCUUAUCGGAUCGCCGUUUUGACUUGAGCUAGUUACCGUUGUGUUAUAAUUUCAAAUUAUCGGAUCAUCGUUAGUUUUCAUAAACUAAACUUCAAUUCUGUUCGAUGUCAGUUAGCCGUUAUCUCCUAAACGGCUAGUCAUUUGCUACAGUGAAAUUAUUUUCUAAAAUUAUAGUUUUACCCCAAAAAUUGCUAUAAUUAUACUAUAUCCCAAAUCUUUAUAAAACUUUACAAAUAGGUCCAUUUUCAGAGUUUCAAAACAAUACUUGUUGAUUUCAAGGUUUUCAAAACUUUUCUAAUUAGACCAUAAACUUGAAAAACAACCAAUUUUACAAAAUCAUUUUUCCUUUAAGUAUAAAAUAUUUUUAUUAUGAAAAUAAUGAUUUAUUUAAAAUGUUUGAAAAGUACUAUGAGCUUUUAAAAGCUUAAUCAUUUUUAAUCUUGUUUGUUAUCAUUAAAAUCAUCAUUAUGAAUACAUAUAUGUUAACAGUAUUUCUUUAGCAAACAUUCGGGUUCUCAACUCGCAAUUUGAAAACCCAGAUUUUUCCAGGUUCAACUCGGUCAGGAUGCAGAGGAAAAAAAAUCCGAGUUUAAAUCCGAAUUUAGUAUUGCAAAUUGUCAUCUAGGUUCGGAAUCAGCAGGCCCAAACCCGAACCUGGACCUAGAUUUUGAGAUCCCUAGUAUAUAUAGACCUCUCAAGAACAGGGAGAGAGAGAGGGGAGAAAGAUUCAAGGUUUGAAAAAAAAACAAAGAGUCAAUACUUUAUACUCAAAAACAAAAGUUAAAAAAAUCUUAUUAAUAGACACUUAGCAAUCUUUUAGAUACUCAACAAUCUUUUAGACAUCAACUAAAAAACUCUUAUCAAGUAAGUAAAUUUAAUUUCUUUAGUGGUAUUUAUCUUUCGGGUUCAGAAGUCUCGCUUAGUUAACGAAAGUAUAAAUUAUAUUUAAAGUAUAAACAAAAGGCAGUCGUUAUUAUUAUUCAAGGGAAAAGAGUUUGGAGAUUUGUUUUUUGAAAAAUAGGUUUUUGUUUUUGACAAAAAUAAUAAGAACUUAGUAUAGGUUUCUGUUGAUUUUCUGAAAGUUUCUUUUUUAAACAUUGUCUCAUUGGUCCGUUUAGCCAUUAAUGUGUUAUGAAAGUAUUUUUGGGUGUGAGUUAGGAGUUUAAAAGUGUUUUUAACUAGCAUAUUUUCAUAAUUAGUUUAAUAAACUUUGGAAAACAAGUUUUUGCCAAGGCAACUCCCGCGGUUUUGACAAAACUUUUUGGGAAUUCACCGUAUAUAGGCGGGAAACUGCCGACAUAUAUUCUAAUGGUUAACCUGAAUGGGAGCUAUAUCAGUCUUCAUUGCCGGUCUAACAAGCCACGUACAUGUCUUCCCUUGUAUUCUUUCCUUCUUUCCUCUUCUUUGGAUCAAGAUCAGAAAAAAUAAAAUAGUCAAUACUUGUACUAAGAAACAAAAGCAAUAAAAAAAAUUUUAUUCAUGGGCACUCAGCAAUCUUUAAGACAUCAACUAGAAAGCUCUUAUCAAGUAAGUAAAUUUAAUUUCUCUAGUUUUAUUUAUCUUUUGGGUUCAAAAGUCUCACCUAGUUAAUGAGGGUAUAAAUUAUAUUUAAAGAAUUAACAAAGGCGGUCCUUAUUAUUAUUCAAGAGAAAAGAGUUUGGAGGAAAAGGUUUUGAAAAUUGGGUUUUUAUUUUUGACAAAAAUAAUGAGAACGUUGUAGAUGGUCUUCGUUGACCCAUUUAGCCAUUAAUGUGUUGAUAAGACGUUUUUGGGUGUGAGUUAGGAGCUUAAAAGUAUUUUUAAUCAUGUUUUCAGAAUCUGUUUAAUAAACUUUGGAAAGUCGGUUUUUAUCAAUUCAGUUUUCACAAUUUUCACAAUUUUUUUUGGGAAUUCACUGUAUAUAGAUAGAAAUUCGGCGACAUAUAUUCUAAUGGUUAAUCCGAAUAAGAAUUAUAUCAAUCUGCACUGCCAAUCUAUCCAGCCACGUACAAGCCUUCCCCUGUAUCCUUCUUUUCUCUUCUUUUCUCUUCUUUAAAGAAUGAAGAAAAAAUAGCAAUUUUUUUGUUAAGACUCUUUAGAUUAGGACAAUACAAACUAACGCGUAUAAGUGCGGACAUCCUCAUCAAUUCUAAUGCGGACGCCACUAAAAUAUGAAAGGUCGUGAACUCCUACCUCGCAUGCCAAUACUAGAAAUAAAUUUAAAAAGUAAAAAAAAAAAACCCCAUUACUUCGGUUAGAAAAUAGUUUUGGUUAGGAUAUGGGCCAAAUGCAAAGCCUAUCUCGGGCCUAUAAAAUUGCAUGGACUUUGAGGCCUUUUCACUUUUAUUAAACCCUCUUCUUUCCGCUUUGUUUUAACACCCUCGACCUUCGGUGUCUAGAGCAGAGAAUAUUUGGUCGAAUGAAAAUAGAGAUUUAAUGGGAAUUGCAUAGACGAUUGAUAAAACACUAGGACGAAAGCUAGAAUAACAAUUUUAAGCUAUAAUAUUUAUAUUUAUCACUAUUUACAAGGGAUAGUAUGCUCUUUAAUUAGAUGCAUGAUUUAGAUUUUUUUUCAUCUUACCUACUUAAAUAUCCAAUUCAGAAUCAAUUUUUGCCAUCAUAAAAUAAAAUUUGUGGUUUGGUAUAGGAAAAAGACUCCAAUCAACUUCAAAUAAGUUCACUUUAAAUUAAAACUAAUUAAGCAUAUUCAUGCUUUUAGACCUACCUAAACACUAGCUUUAUUAUCAUUAAUGUUUAUUCUUUUGGUUUCUUUCAGUUCUUGAGUGUGACAAUAAAUCUUUGUUAGGUUUUCUUCUUCAACGGUUGUAAGCUCUUUAAAGCAAAAUCCCACCACAUUAUAAAGCUUUCGAUAUCCUCUAGUUUAUCUUUCUUGUCGAAUGUCAAUUUACCAGAUUAAAAUCUUUUCAAAUUCUUCUACCUUUUUUACGAAUGUGUUUUGAUAUAGAAUUUUCUUUACAUUAUUGUGUCCAUUAGAUUCAUAUGACACUUGGAAAAAGCUUAAUCUUUUUGAGAAUUAGUGUGGUAGUUCAAAAUGUACAUUAUCUACUGACUUUAAAUAACCCUAAAAUGCUAUUUUAAAUUGACGGCCAAGAAUUUACUAGUUGCUUUCCAAGAUGUGAUUUCUCUUUUAGCAUCAUUUGUUUGUUCUUUUUUAAUCACUUUUUUUUUUAAUACGUUUGACCCAUUUCAACUAACUUCCUAUAUUUCAAUUAUUAAUGACUGAAUAAGAAAUAAUUAUGCUGAGACAUUCAUAUUUUUAUGGUAAUAAAGCUCGGGUUCAUUCAAAAAAUGGCCAAUUGGAACAAACAUUUGUUUUAAUAAAUUUAUUGCUUUUGAUAGAAUUUCUUUUGAGACUGACGAGAAAUGCUAGAGUGUUUCUUACAAACAAAUUUUACGUAUAUAUUUCUAUCAACAAGAUUAAUUCAAACUCCCAAAAAAAAAUCAUUUUAGUUAAUCAUAUUUUUUAAAACUCAAUAAUUAAAGCAUCAAUCCUUGCUGCUUCGAGUUUGGAAAUUGUAACAGCUAACUAAUUAAUUAAUUUUAGCAAUAACAAGGAAUAUGUAUACUCAACGAAAAAGGUUUUUCAAAACCUAAAAUUAAAAUUUGCCCUAGUCGAUGACACGAAGAAAAAGGAAAAAAAAAUGUUUGCUUCCAUAACUCAUAAUCAUCUUGGGUCCAAAAGUAAAAAUCUCCAUUUAGAAACAAUAAUUAAAUUAAAGAGGUAAAAAUCUCGACCCACUCAUAAGAAAAUAAUAAUAAUGAUGAUCCUUGAUGAAAUGUGAAGAGCAGAACCGCGAAGGAUCCCACAAUAAGAUUUUGUGGCAAUUUUAUUGUCAUAUCGAGACCAAUAAUACCAGUUUGCAUGCUUCAAAAUUCAUUAAAUUAUACAAAUCAUUAACAUAUGUGUAGUAUUCUUUUCACCUUCCCACUUUGAAAAUAUAAUUAUGUGAGGGAAUUUUUAGUUCCAGGUAAGAACCCAUAAGUAAAAAUAUCAAAAAAAUAAAAAACAAAAAAUAGAUAGAGAUAAAACUAAUCACACAAUAUAAGAAUUUAUAUAAAAAGUUUCUAUAUUGGAGAAAAACCACGACUGCCAAGGACAACAAGAAAAAAAACCCAUUAUGUGAAAAAUUAUUAGAAUCACUCUAGUAUUUUUCUCACACCCAAAACUCCAAUAACACAUAAUCUCUUGAUAGACCUAUUGUUUAUUUCACACUAAAAACUGUCUACUUGUAUAAAACUAAUUGUUGUAUUAUGCCAAUAAAUGAACCCAAUCUUCCUAUAUAUAUUGAUUAUUUCUUGUAGGAGAAAUAUUCAUUUUCUUAUACUAGUUGUACCCUCCUUGAAUAAAUCAAGUCCCAAAGUGAAAAUUACUUAUUUUUAAAAUAUGAAUUCUAUUAAAGAAGAAAAUAUCUUAAAAAAUCUUGAUUGAAAAAUAAGAUAUAUUUUCUAACAAUUAUAAAUAAAAUUAAAAUAUAAGUAUGAUCCGCUUAUUGAUAAAAUAGAAAUGAAAGUACAAAAACAAAGUUAAAGUACAUUAAUCGCAACGUGGCAUAUCUAAAAGUGAUAAGUUAGCUGCUAAUUGUAAUCUCUCUCAAAUCUUUUGCUUGAUCUAGCCAUGCAACCAUUGAUUCUUUUUCUCACUCUUUAAGCACGCGAAUUAGGUGAUGAUGUAAAAGCAUUGCUUAAAUUUGGACCACCAAAUGAAGAGGAUUAUUCUUUAUUAAUAAAAUCUAUUUUGUAACGUGAUUUGGUCCAAAGAUCAUGAUAUAUCGUCUCAGGGUCAGGGAUCUUUCUUUUCUAAUAAAUACAAAGAUUUUAAUUUUCUUUUUUUUUCUGUCCAAUUUGGUAUCGAUUAGGGCAUAUUUGACUCAGGAUGCGGCCUGAAAGUUCUCAAGUUGAUAGCAAUAAUUUGGUCAAUUUGGCCACUCAUAAUAGGCAUCAAAUACUCAGGUUUUAGUCAACUUUAAUUAUUUGGAAUUUUCAAUGAAGAGUUUUGUUAGGUGAGAAGAAUAAAAAUCAACAUAUUACUUAUGGUCGCAAGUCUAGAAUCUCCGUAAUUAAUUCAAUAGUUAAAAGAGAAUAUAAAAUAAUAAAAAUAAAUUAUGUGGACCAAAAAAAUAUUAAAUUCAACUAAUUUAAUCAUGUCAUUUUAGUUUGUAUAAAAUAAAUUUAUACAACACUUUGUAACUCUAUUAUUAUUCUAUUCUUAUUUGAUUCAUUUUCACUUUUUUAAAGUCAUUAAUCUUAAUAUAUUAUCCAAUCGGUGUCGUUGUAAUUGAAAUUCUAGAACUUUUGAUCAAAUGAAUGGAACAUGAUAUAUAUACAUAGGUGGAUUGAAGAAGAAAGGUAUCAUAAUGAUGAACUUCAUCAUACUUUUUUUAAAUCACUAAUUAAAAUGUGUUUGGUAUGUCAAAUUACACUCAAUAUCCUUUUUGUCAAGACUAGAAUAGAAUUGGAAUCAAUGACGAAACUAUAACUCAAUAUUAGACCGAGCUAAAUUGAAAAAUUUUAAUUAAUUAUAUAGUUGAGGGAAGAUCACAUGAAAAAAAAAAUCAAUUUUUCGAUAUCAAGCAAAAAUUGGAUGGAAGGAAGCCGUAAUUUGUAUAAAUUAUAUUUUAAUAAACUAAUUAACUAAACACUAGAGGACUUACAUGAAAUUUUACAGGGACCAGCCUGGCUAUUUAUUGGUUGCUUCACCAGUCAGAAAUUUGCAUAAAUUUCUAGCGCCACUGGCCAUACAGAAGUGUUACACACACAUAUAUAAAUAUUUGUUAUUUAGAGCUGCUAAUUUUUUUAGCCGCUAUGUCUGUAUAUUUCUUGGGACUCUAACUCCAAUUUUAAUUCUCGAUAGAUAUUUGUUAUUUCGAGUGUGCCACGAGUCAAGGUACGCAAUUAUAUGUACUUAAGCCAAGAAGUAAUUAACUUAAAAGCAUGAUUAAAGAACACAUAUUCCCCAUGUGCAAGAGAGGCUACUGCAUGUUCAAGAUCAAGAGCCAUAUUUUUCAUGAUUAAUAUUUAAUGACUCAAAAUUUGGGCGCUCAAGAACUCAAAGAUGACNN